Molecule: ribosomal RNA, 279 nt
Filed under: uncultured bacterium
Lineage: Bacteria
Description: partial 16S ribosomal RNA
Rfam family: Bacterial small subunit ribosomal RNA
Source: RNAcentral
GAAGGGACCUAGCGUAGUUCGGAAUUACUGGGCUUAAAGAGUUCGUAGGUGGUUAAAAAAGUUGGUGGUGAAAUCCCAGAGCUUAACUCUGGAACUGCCAUCAAAACUUUUUAGCUAGAGUAUGAUAGAGGAAAGCAGAAUUUCUAGUGUAGAGGUGAAAUUCGUAGAUAUUAGAAAGAAUACCAAUUGCGAAGGCAGCUUUCUGGAUCAUUACUGACGCUGAGGAACGAAAGCAUGGGUAGCGAAGAGGAUUAGAUACCCUCGUAGUCCAUGCCGUAA